UACAGAGGGUGCAAGCGUUAAUCGGAAUUACUGGGCGUAAAGCGUGCGUAGACGGUUACAUAAGUCGGGUGUGAAAGCCCCGGGCUCAACCUGGGAAUUGCAUUCGAGACUGCGUAGCUAGGGUGCGGAAGAGGGAAGCGGAAUUUCCGGUGUAGCGGUGAAAUGCGUAGAUAUCAGGAGGAAUACCGAUGGCGAAGGCAGGUCUCUGGGCUGACACUGACGCUGAGUGAGCGAAAGCCAGGGGAGCAAACGGG
Molecule: ribosomal RNA, 254 nt
Filed under: uncultured bacterium
Lineage: Bacteria
Description: partial 16S ribosomal RNA
Rfam family: Bacterial small subunit ribosomal RNA
Source: RNAcentral